GGAAGUCGAAUUGAGACUCAGACUUCUUUUUCCUGAGCCCUGACCAAGAAGUAUUUGCAUACAUUCAUAAAAAUAACAAAUUUAUAGCAAAAAGAUAAAACAUGGCAAGCAUAUGAGUGUGUGUAUGUAUGAGAAAUAUGAGACUGUGCAAAACUUCCAGCAAAGCAUAAAUUCAUUUUGCAUCCAGAGAAUCAGAUUUGGGGCGAAGGGAAGUUUUUUUCUUUUCUUCUUUUUUUUUUUGGUCAAAAACACACGCCUAGAUGUUGAUGUUAAUAUUAUAGUUUCUUAAACAACUGACUGCAGCACAAAACAUGUUGGUUAUGCUCUAAUUUUGUAUACUCCUCUAGUUAAAAGAAACUUCUGAGUCACUUCUGAAGAACAGAAAGGCUUUUGUUUUGGCCUAAUAAUCUCUGUACUUCCGGUGUGAUGUAAGCACAUUGACGUUCCAGCUGAAGUGCUGAGCACGCAGAUGCGGAAGGCGCAAACAGAGAAGAAUCACAAGAGGAAAAAAGGAAGAAGUGUGUUUCUGCUUCACCAGGAAAAAAUUGUGAAUGAUUAUACAGUCAGUUGGUUGGAAACAAGCUGGAGAUCAGAGAAGUUUAUUGGAGGAGCUUCCUCCUCUUCUUUAUCAACUGUUUGGUGUUUGAUCGCGACAACAAGCUUUUCUAAACUGGCCACUGUAGACCUUGUUGGAAGGUCUACCUCCCCUCUAGCCCGGAGAACACGGCUUCCAUGAUUGUCUUCAUGCAUGUCACAUCUGGACUGGUGUAAUCACAAAAUAGUCAAACGCUGCAUUUUCAAAACUGUUGGAAAUCUGAUUUUUGGGCUGUGGACGGAAGCAGGAGUGCCUGGAGAAAGCCCACAUAUGCGCAAGAACAACAUGCAAACUCCAGACAGGAAGAACUGGUCCAUGAUUUGGACCAGAGCCUUCUCUCUGUGCGGUGAGAGCACCAACGGUGCAGCUACCGUGCAGCUCCACAUAUACGCAGCUGGAGAUUGUAAGGCUGUCUCCUGUUGAAGACCAAACACAAGUCAUCUUAGUCAGUCACUGGACUUAAUUCUGGCUGAAUAUUUUAAAUGAAUUGAGUGAAUCAUGUUCUUUAGAUUAAGAUAUUGUUUCAUUAUCUGUGGGUUGUUGGUGUGAUUUCUGAAGACUUCUAGUUUCAUUCUAUUUGAUUUCAAGCGUGCUUUAAAAAACUGAACAGAAUUUAGGUUGAAGUUGUUUCAGUUUUCCACCUGAACUCCUAAACAUUAAUCUUUCAGGACUCCAGCAUAGCGUUAUCAGCACAAAAGGAGGACAUUUUGGCUCCACGUAUGAAAUAAAACAUGGUUUUUAAAGUUGGAUUGGACUAAACCUUUUUUUUUUAAUCUGUAUUAAGGACAAACUGUUGUGUUUUCAUGACUUCAUACACCAUGAUGUUUUUAAAGACACUGAUUAUAUGUUGAGUUAUUUUAAAAGCAUUCUCAGUGGUUCAUUAUAAAUUCGCCUCUAAAUUGUGGACG
Long non-coding RNA from Oryzias melastigma (Indian medaka), 1503 nucleotides. RefSeq lists it as uncharacterized. The record is from RefSeq and is a predicted model, not a curated record. The transcript has 3 exons. Lineage: Eukaryota; Metazoa; Chordata; Actinopteri; Beloniformes; Adrianichthyidae.